This 63-nucleotide transfer RNA is filed under the name Coleoptera sp. 15 KM-2017. Its description in RNAcentral is "tRNA-Met". It matches the Rfam family "tRNA". From Rfam's summary of the family: Transfer RNA (tRNA) molecules are approximately 80 nucleotides in length. Their secondary structure includes four short double-helical elements and three loops (D, anti-codon, and T loops). The record is from RNAcentral. Lineage: Eukaryota; Metazoa; Arthropoda; Insecta; Coleoptera.
GGUAAAAUAAGCUAAAUAAGCUAUUGGAUUCAUAAUCCAAAAAUGAUUUUAAAUCUUUUACUU